CCUACGGGUGGCUGCAGUGGGGAAUAUUGGGCAAUGGAGGCAACUCUGACCCAGCCAUGCCGCGUGGGUGACGAAGGUCUUCGGAUUGUAAAGCCCUUUCGGCGGAGACGAUGAUGACGGUAUCCGCAGAAGAAGCCCCGGCUAACUUCGUGCCAGCAGCCGCGGUAAUACGAAGGGGGCUAGCGUUGUUCGGAAUUACUGGGCGUAAAGGGCGUGUAGGCGGCCCGCUAAGUCAGGUGUGAAAGGCCUGGGCUCAACCCAGGAAAUGCGCCUGGGACUGACGGGCUUGAAUCCGGGAGAGGAUGGUGGAACUCCCAGUGUAGAGGUGAAAUUCGUAGAUAUUGGGAAGAACACCCGUGGCGAAGGCGGCCAUCUGGACCGGUAUUGACGCUAAGGCGCGACAGCGUGGGGAGCAAACAGGAUUAGAUACCCGAGUAGUC
Molecule: ribosomal RNA, 440 nt
Filed under: uncultured bacterium
Lineage: Bacteria
Description: partial 16S ribosomal RNA
Rfam family: Bacterial small subunit ribosomal RNA
Source: RNAcentral